This 763-nucleotide ribosomal RNA is filed under the name uncultured bacterium. Its description in RNAcentral is "bacterial SSU rRNA". It matches the Rfam family "Bacterial small subunit ribosomal RNA", at positions 144 to 912 of the family's 1533-position model. The record is from RNAcentral.
UAGCCUUUAGAAAUGAAGAAUAAUACCCCAUAGUAUGUAAAGAUCGCAUGGUUUUUACAUUAAAGUUUCGGCGGUAAGAGAUGAGUAUGCGUUCUAUUAGCUAGAUGGUGUGGUAACGGCACACCAUGGCAACGAUAGAUAGGGGCCCUGAGAGGGGGAUCCCCCACACUGGUACUGAGACACGGACCAGACUCCUACGGGAGGCAGCAGUGAGGAAUAUUGGACAAUGGGCGAGAGUGAUCCAGCCAUGCCGCGUGCAGGAAGACUGCCCUAUGGGUUGUAAACUGCUUUUAUAUAGGAAGAAACCUUUCCACGUGUGGAGAGCUGACGGUACUAUAAGAAUAAGGAUCGGCUAACUCCGUGCCAGCAGCCGCGGUAAUACGGAGGAUCCAAGCGUUAUCCGGAAUCAUUGGGUUUAAAGGGUCCGUAGUUGAUAAUUAAGUCAGAGGUGAAAGUUUGCGGCUUAACCGUAAAAUUGCCUUUGAUACUGGUUAUCUUGAAUUAGUGUGAAGUGGUUAGAAUAUGUAGUGUAGCGGUGAAAUGCAUAGAUAUUACAUAGAAUACCAAUUGCGAAGCAGAUCACUAACACUAUAUUGACACUGAUGGACGAAAGCGUGGGGAGCGAACGGGAUUAGAUACCCCGGUAGUCCACGCCGUAAACGAUGGUCACUAGCUGUUCGGACUUCGGUCUGAGUGGCUAAGCGAAAGUGAUAAGUGACCCACCUGGGGAGUACGUUCGCAAGAAUGAAACUCAAAGGAAUUG